AACGAGACCUUAACCUGCUAAAUAGCCAGGCUAGCUUUGGCUGGUCGCCGGCUUCUUAGAGGGACUAUCGGCUCAAGCCGAUGGAAGUUUGAGGCAAUAACAGGUUAACCUAUCACAGGCCUGUCAUAGUGGGCCUCAUUAAAGAUAACUGCUAGUCUAGCAUCUUCACCUUCUUGGGGAAGUCCCCGACUGUCGGGAGAAGGAGGGCUGAAAGGCCCAUGAUGCAGGCAACACCACCUGGUACAGGGAA
Molecule: ribosomal RNA, 250 nt
Filed under: Phaeosphaeriaceae sp.
Lineage: Eukaryota; Fungi; Ascomycota; Dothideomycetes; Pleosporales; Phaeosphaeriaceae
Description: partial small subunit ribosomal RNA
Rfam family: Eukaryotic small subunit ribosomal RNA (bases 1-105)
Source: RNAcentral